UAAGAAUGGCUUUUCGGAGUGCUGUAGGU
RNAcentral lists this non-coding RNA (29 nucleotides) under Bombyx mori (domestic silkworm). Lineage: Eukaryota; Metazoa; Arthropoda; Insecta; Lepidoptera; Bombycidae. The record is from RNAcentral.